GAUCAUGGCUCAGAUUGAACGCUGGCGGAAUGCUUUACACAUGCAAGUCGAACGGUAGAGGGGGGCAACCCCUCGAGAGUGGCGAACGGGUGAGUAAUAUAUCGGAACGUGCCCAGUCGUGGGGGAUAACGUAGCGAAAGUUACGCUAAUACCGCAUACGAUCUACGGAUGAAAGCGGGGGACUCGCAAGGGCCUCGCGCGAUUGGAGCGGCCGAUAUCAGAUUAGGUAGUUGGUGGGGUAAAGGCUCACCAAGCCAACGAUCUGUAGCUGGUCUGAGAGGACGACCAGCCACACUGGAACUGAGACACGGUCCAGACUCCUACGGGAGGCAGCAGUGGGGAAUUUUGGACAAUGGGCGAAAGCCUGAUCCAGCCAUUCCGCGUGCAGGAUGAAGGCCCUCGGGUUGUAAACUGCUUUUGUACGGAACGAAAAGGUCUCUCCUAAUACGAGGGGCUCAUGACGGUACCGUAAGAAUAAGCACCGGCUAACUACGUG
RNAcentral lists this ribosomal RNA (496 nucleotides) under uncultured bacterium. RNAcentral's name for it is "bacterial SSU rRNA". It matches the Rfam family "Bacterial small subunit ribosomal RNA", at positions 15 to 507 of the family's 1533-position model. The record is from RNAcentral.